RNAcentral lists this ribosomal RNA (253 nucleotides) under uncultured bacterium. RNAcentral describes it as "partial 16S ribosomal RNA". It matches the Rfam family "Bacterial small subunit ribosomal RNA", at positions 524 to 776 of the family's 1533-position model. The record is from RNAcentral.
UACGUAGGGGGCAAGCGUUGUCCGGAAUCAUUGGGCGUAAAGAGCGUGUAGGCGGUCCGGUAAGUCGGUUGUGAAAGUCCAGGGCUCAACCCUGGGAUGCCGACCGAUACUGUCGGACUAGAGUUCGGAAGAGGCGAGUGGAAUUCCCGGUGUAGCGGUGGAAUGCGCAGAUAUCUGGAGGAACACCGGAGGCGAAGGCGGAUCACUGGACUGCCACUGACGCUGAGGCGCGAAAGCUAGGGGAGCAAACAGG